This 460-nucleotide ribosomal RNA is filed under the name uncultured bacterium. RNAcentral describes it as "partial 16S ribosomal RNA". It matches the Rfam family "Bacterial small subunit ribosomal RNA", at positions 338 to 795 of the family's 1533-position model. The record is from RNAcentral.
CCUACGGGAGGCAGCAGUGAGGAAUAUUGGUCAAUGGGCGCGAGCCUGAACCAGCCAAGUAGCGUGAAGGAUGACUGCCCUACGGGUUGUAAACUUCUUUUAUAAAGGAAUAAAGUUAGGUACGUGUGCUCUUCUGUAUGUACUUUAUGAAUAAGGAUCGGCUAACUCCGUGCCAGCAGCCGCGGUAAUACGGAGGAUCCGAGCGUUAUCCGGAUUUAUUGGGUUUAAAGGGUGCGUAGAUGGGUUGAUAAGUUAGUUGUGAAAGUUUGGAGCUCAACCGGAGAAUUGCAAUUGAUACUGUCAGUCUUGAGAGCAGUUGAGGUAGGCGGAAUGCAUGGUGUAGCGGUGACAUGCUUAGAGAUCACAAAGAACUCCGAUUGCGAAGGCAGCUUACUAAACUGCCACUGACAUUGAUGCUCGAAAGUGUGGGUAUCAAACAGGAUUAGAUACCCGAGUAGUC